RNAcentral lists this ribosomal RNA (1018 nucleotides) under uncultured Tulasnellaceae. RNAcentral describes it as "eukaryotic LSU rRNA". The stretch from base 473 to 1018 matches the Rfam family "Eukaryotic large subunit ribosomal RNA", at positions 1 to 529 of the family's 3401-position model. The record is from RNAcentral. Lineage: Eukaryota; Fungi; Basidiomycota; Agaricomycetes; Cantharellales; Tulasnellaceae.
GCCCCUCGACUCGCACCGGAUGCAAUGCGCCGUCGCGCGCUAGUCCUGGCCUCCGGGCCUCGACACCCUUUGUUAUCCUUGCCAUGCCUAUUCGAAACACGAGAGAUAUCACAACCAGUAGCGUUGGAUCCCUUGGCACGUCAUUCGAUGAAGACCGUUGCAAAAUGCGAUAAGUGGUGUGAUAUGCAAGUCCAAAACUUAUACGUGAACCAUCGAAUUGUUGAACGCACUGCAUCGAGCCUUACCCAGGAACGAUACGCCCCAUUGAGCGUCAUUAUGUCUUCGCGACUCGUCUUCUUAUGUCGACCUGUCCGGGUUCGGGAUUCACGGCCUCGGCCGCGCUUCCUCAGAUGCAUGGACGCGCCGGAACGCACGGCGACCUUGUCAUGAAUGUCGAGGCAGCCGUCGUGUCCCGGYGCGCGAUCCUCCGCUCGGCGGGGGACCAACCGCAGUCCGCUGCACCUUCUCUACAUGACCUCACGGGGGUGGGACGACCCGCUAGACUUAAGCAUAUUAAUCAGCGGAGGAAAAGAAACUAACAAGGAUUCCCCUAGUAACUGCGAGUGAAGAGGGACGAGCUCAAUGUGUGAAUCGUGUCGGGAUUAGCCCCCUUCUCGAGUUGUGCACUAUAGACGCCGGAUCAGCGCUGGAAGGAUCGAGGUGGAUGUCCGAUGAAACUCGGUGCCAUUGAGGGUCAUAGUCCUGUACUUGCCUUGUCAUCCUUUGCGCCUUUGACCGGUGUUCUGCGAGUCGCGUAGUUUUGUAUUGCUGCGCUAAUCGGGAGGUAGAGCCCUUCUAAAGCUAAAUAUGAUGACGUGACCGAUAGCACACAAGUACCGCGAGGGAAAGGUGAAAAGCAACCAUGCAGAAUGGGUUGAAACAGCAGUGAAAGCGCUACUGGGAUAAGGGCUGGGGAUUGCUUGUGUCGCUUGCGCGUGCUUUAGUGCUGUGCUUGUGAACGGCAUGCUUCCGUUCGGACGGGGAGAAGAGGGCCUCGGGAAUUCGGCGGAUCCGUCCA